ACCUGAAACCCUGCACUUACAAGCUGUGGAAGCACAUUUCUUGUGUGACCGCGUACUUUUUGUAGAACGGGCCAACGAGUUACGUUAAGUAGCAAGGUUAAGUACUUAAGGUGCGGAGCCGUAGCGAAAGCGAGUUUUAACUGAGCGUUCAGUUACUUGACGUAGACCCGAAACCGGGCGACCUACCCAUGAGCAGGAUGAAGCG
RNAcentral lists this ribosomal RNA (205 nucleotides) under Clostridioides difficile. RNAcentral's name for it is "partial 23S ribosomal RNA". It matches the Rfam family "Bacterial large subunit ribosomal RNA", at positions 548 to 752 of the family's 2925-position model. Lineage: Bacteria; Bacillati; Bacillota; Clostridia; Peptostreptococcales; Peptostreptococcaceae. The record is from RNAcentral.